GCCUUAGCUCAGUUGGUAGAGCAGCUGAUUUGUAAUCAGCAGGUCGCGAGUUCGAGUCUCGCAAGCG
Molecule: transfer RNA, 67 nt
Filed under: uncultured Saccharofermentans sp.
Lineage: Bacteria; Bacillati; Bacillota; Clostridia; Eubacteriales; Oscillospiraceae
Rfam family: tRNA
About the family: Transfer RNA (tRNA) molecules are approximately 80 nucleotides in length. Their secondary structure includes four short double-helical elements and three loops (D, anti-codon, and T loops). Further hydrogen bonds mediate the characteristic L-shaped molecular structure. tRNAs have two regions of fundamental functional importance: the anti-codon, which is responsible for specific mRNA codon recognition, and the 3' end, to which the tRNAs corresponding amino acid is attached (by aminoacyl-tRNA synthetases). tRNAs cope with the degeneracy of the genetic code in two manners: having more than one tRNA (with a specific anti-codon) for a particular amino acid; and 'wobble' base-pairing, i.e. permitting non-standard base-pairing at the 3rd anti-codon position.
Source: RNAcentral